AAUCCCGUGAACCAUCGAGUCUUUGAACGCAAGUUGCGCCCCAAGCCUUCUGGCCGAGGGCACGUCUGCCUGGGUGUCACAAAUCGUCGUCCCCAUCCUNUGCGGAUAAGGGACGGAAGUUGGUCUCCCGUGUGUUACCGCACGCGGUUGGCCUAAAUCUGAG
Molecule: ribosomal RNA, 163 nt
Filed under: Draba violacea
Lineage: Eukaryota; Viridiplantae; Streptophyta; Magnoliopsida; Brassicales; Brassicaceae
Description: 5.8S ribosomal RNA
Rfam family: 5.8S ribosomal RNA (bases 1-79)
Source: RNAcentral